This is a non-coding RNA of Zonotrichia albicollis (white-throated sparrow), 632 nucleotides long. The record is from RefSeq and is a predicted model, not a curated record. Lineage: Eukaryota; Metazoa; Chordata; Aves; Passeriformes; Passerellidae.
CAGAAUACCACAAGAAGCCAAGUGCCUGAAAGAGGGAAAAUGCUUUUAGACGUGUUUGAUAUCCGCGAAAUAAACAACAAUGCAUUCAGUGACAGAAGCAUCUCCACUCACUCCUGCCACUCACUGCUUCCUCCCUGAGCACCUGAGGAGUGACCACGGCACCACCCAACUCCCAUGGCCUGAAAAGGAAGCAUUCCUGGAGUAUGACAUGCACAAUUCUUAUGAGGAUGACAGAGUUUGAUAAAGAAACACAGCAGCACUGCCACGGUGAGACUCCAUCCCUCUCCCAAUCCCUCUCACAGCAGCACUGCCGUAACAGUGCUAACAGGUGAACCUUUUACACUAAGAUUUUCAAAUCGCACUCUCUCAUCUGCUUGCUUUUUUUUCUUUCAGAUGAAAAGUUAACUCUUCACCAAAGCAUAUUGUUUUCCUCAAGCUGUUGCAGCCAGCCUUACACACGCUCAGGUGAGAAGGAACUUGUUGCAUUAUCUGAAGCGGAAAACAUCCGGGCGCUCCCUCAGUUUUGGACGGAUUGCUCCCAGCUCUGCCACUGUCUCGGGCAAACAGGAGGUGAGUUUCUAACCGGGCACGCGGCCCCUCUCAGUCACGCCCGCGGUAUCCGCGCCUCGCCC